This 602-nucleotide ribosomal RNA is filed under the name Schmidingerella taraikaensis. RNAcentral's name for it is "partial Bacterial small subunit ribosomal RNA". It matches the Rfam family "Bacterial small subunit ribosomal RNA", at positions 470 to 1067 of the family's 1533-position model. Lineage: Eukaryota; Ciliophora; Spirotrichea; Tintinnida; Rhabdonellidae. The record is from RNAcentral.
UGACGUUAACGUCAGAAGAAGCACCGGCUAACUCCGUGCCAGCAGCCGCGGUAAUACGGAGGAUCCAAGCGUUAUCCGGAAUCAUUGGGUUUAAAGGGUCCGCAGGCGGAUUUAUAAGUCAGUGGUGAAAGCCUACAGCUUAACUGUAGAACUGCCAUUGAUACUGUAAGUCUUGAAUUCGGUCGAAGUGGGCGGAAUAUGUCAUGUAGCGGUGAAAUGCUUAGAUAUGACAUAGAACACCGAUAGCGAAGGCAGCUCACUAGGCCUGGAUUGACGCUCAGGGACGAAAGCGUGGGGAGCGAACAGGAUUAGAUACCCUGGUAGUCCACGCCGUAAACGAUGAGAGCUAGUUGUCUGGCAGCAUGCUGUCAGGUGACGCAGCUAACGCAUUAAGCUCUCCGCCUGGGGAGUACGGCCGCAAGGUUAAAACUCAAAGGAAUUGACGGGGGCUCACACAAGCGGUGGAGGAUGUGGCUUAAUUCGAGGCAACGCGAAGAACCUUAUCCCGGACUUGACAUCUAUGGAUUAGCAUUGUGAAAGCAGUGUGACGCCUUCGGGUGGAACAUAGACAGGUGCUGCAUGGCUGUCGUCAGCUCGUGCCG